This is an RNA transcript of Vigna angularis (adzuki bean), 1889 nucleotides long. It is a transcript of the gene named putative FBD-associated F-box protein At5g22720, with no coding region annotated. NCBI's taxonomy places the organism in Eukaryota, Viridiplantae, Streptophyta, Magnoliopsida, Fabales, Fabaceae. The record is from RefSeq and is a predicted model, not a curated record. The transcript is spliced from 5 exons.
UAUCUACAUCGUACACGCGCACCCUCUCAUGGCAAAGAUAUCGCGCCACACAUUCUUCUAUCGAUUCAGAACCCAAAGAAAAACGCUUUUAGGAUUUAAGGCGAAACUUGAAGUGCCAGGGAAAGUUGCAGUUUGAAUGAUCGAAUCCCCAAUCACUGCCUAAGAUCAGGUGUGGUUGAAGGAAAAGGGACAACAGUGGAAAUUGAAGUUGAAGACGGAAAAAUGCAGAGUGAUGGAGAUAAAAAAGAGGACAUGGACAGGCUCAGUGACAUGCCUAACUUUGUCUUACUUCAUAUAAUGAAAUUUAUGAGCAUGAAACAGGCUGUUCAGACUUGUGUCCUGUCUUCAAGAUGGAAGGAACAUUGGAAACACCUAACUGAUUUGGCUUUGAAUUCCUCAGAUUUUACCAAUCUUACACAUUUCAGCAAAUUUGUUUCUUGGGUUAUUUCGAAUCGAGACAACUCUAUUUCACUGCAUAGUCUAGAUUUGAGGCGUAAAGGCUGCAUUGAUCAUGAACUUCUGGAUAGGAUUAUGGGGUAUGCUGUGUCACACGAUGUCCAGCAGUUGACAAUUGAAGUUAAUUUAAGUGUUAUACUUGGUUUUAGGUUGCACCCUUGUGUCUUUUCUUGUAAAACAUUGACAUAUCUCAAGCUUUCGAUUUGGGCUGUACCUUGGAUGACCCAACUUCCGAGUUCCUUGCAUUUGCCAGCAUUGAAAAGCUUGCAUCUUGAGCACGUCACUUUUACUGCAAGUGAAAGUGAUUAUGCUGAGCCCUUUUCAACUUGUCACAUGUUAGAUACUUUGGUUCUUGAUCGUUUUAACUUGCACCAAGGUGUGAAAUUCCUCUGUAUAUGUAAUUCCAACCUUUCUAGUUUGACCAUUGGUAGUACCAUUCAAGAAGCGCCUUACAAAUUUGUGCUUUCUACUCCAAACCUUAGAUAUCUUACUGUGAUGCGUGAUCCUCUUUACCAACUCUCUGCAUGCAAACUUUGUUUUCUUGAACAAGUAAGCAUUGACUGUGAAGCCUAUUUUCAUACUCAUUUUGAACGGACUUAUUCAGCCCUUAUAAGUCUGCUGCAAGUGCUUGCUGAUUAUGUAAAGAUAAUGAUACUCUCUUCAAGUACCCUUAAGAUUCUACAUGGUCUCUCAACUUCUGGUUCAAUGAUAACUCAAAUUCCUUGUUUUGUUCAAUUGAAGUCAUUGAAAUUGAAAGUGAAAUCUUCGACAAACAUAUCCGAUGAUGGAGUUGGCAGGAUAGUAGAAUACUUACUUCAAAAAUCCCCUUUUGCCAAAGUGGAUAUUAUAAAUUGCUGAGUGAUAUCCAUGCACACUUAAAUCUUCAGGACAAGAACUCCUUGAAGAUGAUUGGUAUAUUCUGGAUGAUCUUUACACACUGAGAGUGCCUUCUUACCAUACUUUCCCACAUACUCAGACCCCUUACUGUAUCACAACUGUUAGUUUAGCCUCUAUUGUGAUAUCCAAAUAUCUUAGUAAGGACAACACAGACUUUGACCAUCAUAAUUGAAGUGGCUGUAUCCAGGCAUCUAUGAUAUCUUCUAUAGCUCAAGCUAUUAGAGUGCUAUUGUUAAGGUUUAUUAGCUAUUGGAUCUUUGGAUGAAAGGAUAUGUUAAUGAUAAUAUUAAUACACAUUAAUAGUCCAAUUGCAAUUCCUGCUCCUCUUUUUCCUUUUGAAUGUAAAUAGAUGAGCCAAGGUUCUGUGUAUCAUGCCUCUACCAAUGUUUGGAUGUAACUGAAUUACUAGACUUUGGUGUUGUUUGAACUCUUGUCAAUUUUAUAAUGAUGAGUAUGUUUACCAUGUCUUAUCAAUUCCUGAGGAACUUUGUAAAAGUAGGUGAGGACUUUGUUUAUAAUGUUAUAUCAAUUGCUGA